Molecule: ribosomal RNA, 504 nt
Filed under: uncultured Glomeraceae
Lineage: Eukaryota; Fungi; Glomeromycota; Glomeromycetes; Glomerales; Glomeraceae
Description: SSU rRNA
Rfam family: Eukaryotic small subunit ribosomal RNA
Source: RNAcentral
CGCAGCCGCGGUAAUUCCAGCUCCAAUAGCGUAUAUUAAAGUUGUUGCAGUUAAAAGCUCGUAGUUGAAUUUCGGGAUCAAUUAAUUGGUCGUGCCUCUGGUACGUACUGAUUUUAUUGGUUUCUCCCUUCUGACGAACCAUGAUGUCAUUAAUUUGGUGUCGUGGAGAAUCAGGACUGUUACUUUGAAAAAUUAGAGUGUUUAAAGCAAGCUAACGCUUGAAUACAUUAGCAUGGAAUAAUGAAAUAGGACGUUUGAUCCUAUUUUGUUGGUUUCUAGGAUCGACGUAAUGAUUAAUAGGGAUAGUUGGGGGCAUUAGUAUUCAAUUGUCAGAGGUGAAAUUCUUGGAUUUAUUGAAGACUAACUACUGCGAAAGCAUUUGCCAAGGAUGUUUUCAUUAAUCAAGAACGAAAGUUAGGGGAUCGAAGACGAUCAGAUACCGUCGUAGUCUUAACCAUAAACUAUGCCGACUAGGGAUCGGAUGAUGUAAUUUUUAAUGACUCA